Molecule: ribosomal RNA, 433 nt
Filed under: uncultured bacterium
Lineage: Bacteria
Description: partial 16S ribosomal RNA
Rfam family: Bacterial small subunit ribosomal RNA
Source: RNAcentral
AGCGAACGCUGGCGGCAGGCCUAACACAUGCAAGUCGAACGGAUCCUUCGGGAUUAGUGGCGGACGGGUGAGUAACACGUGGGAACGUGCCCUUUGGUUCGGAACAACUCAGGGAAACCUGAGCUAAUACCGGAUGUGCCCUUCGGGGGAAAGAUUUAUCGCCAUUGGAGCGGCCCGCGUCUGAUUAGCUAGUUGGUGAGGUAACGGCCCACCAAGGCGACGAUCAGUAGCUGGUCUGAGAGGAUGAUCAGCCACACUGGGACUGAGACACGGCCCAGACUCCUACGGGAGGCAGCAGUGGGGAAUCUUGCGCAAUGGGCGAAAGCCUGACGCAGCCAUGCCGCGUGAAUGAUGAAGGUCUUAGGAUUGUAAAAUUCUUUCAGCGGGGACGAUAAUGACGGUACCCGCAGAAGAAGCUCCGGCUAACUUCGUG